This 602-nucleotide ribosomal RNA is filed under the name uncultured bacterium. RNAcentral's name for it is "bacterial SSU rRNA". It matches the Rfam family "Bacterial small subunit ribosomal RNA", at positions 335 to 937 of the family's 1533-position model. The record is from RNAcentral.
CACCUACGGGAGGCAGCAGUCGAGAAUAUUCGGCAAUGGGCGCAAGCCUGACCGAGCGACGCCGCGUGAAGGAAGAAGCCCUUCGGGGUGUAAACUUCUUUUCUUAGGGAAAAAAUUAGUGUUUUGCACUAAUUGAUGGUACCUAAGGAAUAAGGGGCUGCCAACUACGUGCCAGCAGCCGCGGUAAUACGUAGGCCCCAAGCGUUAUCCGGAUUUAUUGGGCGUAAAGGGUGCGUAGGUGGUUUAUUGCAUCUUUGGUUAAAGUCCCAAGCUCAACUUGGGAAGCGCCAAAGAGAUGAAUAAACUAGAGAAUGCCAGAGGUGGCUGGAACUGCCGGUGUAGGGGUGAAAUCCGUUGAUAUCGGCAGGAACGCCAGAGGUGAAAACGAGCCACUGGGGUAUUUCUGACACUGAGGCACGAAAGUGUGGGGAGCAAAAAGGAUUAGAUACCCUUGUAGUCCACACCCUAAACGAUGCCGACUAGCUGUUUCGAGUAUCGACCCUCGGAGUGGCGAAGCUAACGCGUUAAGUCGGCCGCCUGGGAAGUACGGCCGCAAGGCUAAAACUCAAAGGAAUAGACGGGGCUUCACACAAGCGGUGGAG